Molecule: ribosomal RNA, 1123 nt
Filed under: uncultured bacterium
Lineage: Bacteria
Description: bacterial SSU rRNA
Rfam family: Bacterial small subunit ribosomal RNA
Source: RNAcentral
AUUGAUUUUAUGCUUGCAUAAAUGAUUUUUGGAUUCGGAGCGAGUGGCGAACUGGUGAGUAACACGUGGGUAACCUGCCCCGAAGCGGGGGAUAACAUUUGGAAACAAGUGCUAAUACCGCAUAAUUAGUUGGAACCGCAUGGUUCCAACUUGAAAGAUGGCUCUGCUAUCACUUUGGGAUGGACCCGCGCCGUAUUAGUUAGUUGGUGAGAUAAAAGCCCACCAAGACGAUGAUACGUAGCCGACCUGAGAGGGUAAUCGGCCACAUUGGGACUGAGACACGGCCCAGACUCCUACGGGAAGCAGCAGUAGGGAAUCUUCCACAAUGGACGAAAGUCUGAUGGAGCAACGCCGCGUGAGUGAUGAAGGUUUUCGGAUCGUAAAACUCUGUUGUUAAAGAAGAACAAGUGUUAGAGUAACUGUUAACACUUUGACGGUAUUUAACCAGAAAGCCACGGCUAACUACGUGCCAGCAGCCGCGGUAAUACGUAGGUGGCAAGCGUUGUCCGGAUUUAUUGGGCGUAAAGCGAGCGCAGGCGGUUUUGUAAGUCUGCUGUGAAAGCCCUCAGCUCAACUGAGGAAGUGCAGUGGAAACUACAAAACUUGAGUACAGAAGAGGAAAGUGGAACUCCAUGUGUAGCGGUGAAAUGCGUAGAUAUAUGGAAGAACACCAGUGGCGAAGGCGGCUUUCUGGUCUGUUACUGACGCUGAGGCUCGAAGGCAUGGGUAGCGAACAGGAUUAGAUACCCUGGUAGUCCAUGCCGUAAACGAUGAAUACUAGGUGUUGGAGGGUUUCCGCCCUUCAGUGCCGCAGCUAACGCAUUAAGUAUUCCGCCUGGGGAGUACGACCGCAAGGUUGAAACUCAAAGGAAUUGACGGGGGCCCGCACAAGUGGUGGAGCAUGUGGUUUAAUUCGAUGCUACGCGAAGAACCUUACCAGCUCUUGACAUCUUCUGCCAACCCAAGAGAUUGGGCGUUCCCUUCGGGGACAGAAUGACAGGUGGUGCAUGGUUGUCGUCAGCUCGUGUCGUGAGAUGUUGGGUUAAGUCCCGCAACGAGCGCAACCCUUAUUAUUAGUUGCCAGCAUUUAGUUGGGCACUCUAGUGAGACUGCCGGUGAUAAA